This 500-nucleotide ribosomal RNA is filed under the name uncultured bacterium. RNAcentral describes it as "partial 16S ribosomal RNA". It matches the Rfam family "Bacterial small subunit ribosomal RNA", at positions 30 to 523 of the family's 1533-position model. The record is from RNAcentral.
AUUGAACGCUGGCGGCAUGCCUUACACAUGCAAGUCGAACGGCAGCACGGGAGCAAUCCUGGUGGCGAGUGGCGAACGGGUGAGUAAAGUAUCGGAACGUGCCCAGUCGUGGGGGAUAACGUAGCGAAAGUUACGCUAAUACCGCAUACGAUCCAUGGCUGAAAGCGGGGGAUCGCGAGACCUCGCCCGAUUGGAGCGGCCGAUACCAGAUUCGGGAGUUGGUGGGGUAAAGGCUCACCAAGUCGACGAUCUGUAGCUGGUCUGAGAGGACGACCAGCCACACUGGGACUGAGACACGGCCCAGACUCCUACGGGAGGCAGCAGUGGGGAAUUUUGGACAAUGGGCGAAAGCCUGAUCCAGCCAUGCCGCGUGCAGGAUGAAGGCCUUCGGGUUGUAAACUGCUUUUGUACGGAACGAAAAGGUUUGGCCUAAUAAGCUGAGCUCAUGACGGUACCGUAAGAAUAAGCACCGGCUAACUACGUGCCAGCCGCCGCCGUAA